AUUGAACGCUAGCGGGAUGCUUUACACAUGCAAGUCGAACGAGUGGCGGACGGGUGAGUAAUAUAUUGGAAAGUGACCAGUCGCGGGGGAUAACUACUCGAAAGAGUGGCUAAUACCGCUUACUAUUGUAGCGGCCGGUAUCGGAUUAGCGAGUUGGUGGGGUAAAGGCUCAACAAGGCAACGAUCCGUAGCUGGUUGGAGAGGACGACCAGCCACACUGGGACUGAGACACGGCCCAGACUCCUACGGGAGGCAGCAGUGGGGAAGAUUGGACAAUGGGGGAAACCCUGAUCCAGCCAUCCCGCGUGUAUGAGAAGGCCUUCGGGUUGUAAAGUACUUUUGGCAGAGAAGCGGUAUCUGCAGAAUAAGCACCGGCUAACUACGUGCCAGCAGCCGCGGUAAUUC
This 405-nucleotide ribosomal RNA is filed under the name uncultured bacterium. Its description in RNAcentral is "partial 16S ribosomal RNA". It matches the Rfam family "Bacterial small subunit ribosomal RNA", at positions 30 to 526 of the family's 1533-position model. The record is from RNAcentral.